Molecule: non-coding RNA, 46 nt
Organism: Equus caballus (horse)
Lineage: Eukaryota; Metazoa; Chordata; Mammalia; Perissodactyla; Equidae
Source: Rfam
CCAAAGGCUCUUUUCAGAGCCACCCACUUUUUCGAAAGAGAGCUAU